GACGAACGCUGGCGGCGUGCCUAAUACAUGCAAGUCGAACGCUGAAGAGAGGAGCUUGCUCUUCUUGGAUGAGUUGCGAACGGGUGAGUAACGCGUAGGUAACCUGCCUUGUAGCGGGGGAUAACUAUUGGAAACGAUAGCUAAUACCGCAUAACAAUGUAUGACACAUGUCUUUUAUUUGAAAGGGGCAAUUGCUCCACUACAAGAUGGACCUGCGUUGUCUUAGCCAGUAGGUGAGGUAAUGGCCCACCUAGGCGACCAUACAUAGCCGACCUGGGAGGGUGGACGGCCACACCUGGAACUGAAAACGGGCCAGACUCCUAAGGGAGGCAGCAGGAGGGAAACUUCGGGCAUGGGGGCAAACCUGACCGGGGAAAGCCGCGGGAGUGAAGAAGGGUUUCGGAUCGGAAAGAUCUGUUGUAAGUGAAGAACGGGUGUUGGAGUGGAAAGUGCACACUGUGACGGUAGCUUACCAGAAAGAGACGGCUAACUACGUG
This 497-nucleotide ribosomal RNA is filed under the name uncultured bacterium. RNAcentral describes it as "partial 16S ribosomal RNA". It matches the Rfam family "Bacterial small subunit ribosomal RNA", at positions 28 to 507 of the family's 1533-position model. The record is from RNAcentral.